AACGAACGCUGGCGGCAGGCCUAACACAUGCAAGUCGAACGCCCCGCAAGGGGAGUGGCAGACGGGUGAGUAACGCGUGGGAACGUGCCCUUCGGUUCGGAAUAACUCAGGGAAACUUGAGCUAAUACCGGAUACGUCCGUAAGGAGAAAGAUUUAUCGCCGAAGGAUCGGCCCGCGUCGGAUUAGCUAGUUGGUGAGGUAACGGCCCACCAAGGCGACGAUCCGUAGCUGGUCUGAGAGGAUGANCAGCCACACUGGACUGAGACACGGCCCAGACUCCUACGGGAGGCAGCAGUGGGGAAUAUUGGACAAUGGGCGAAAGCCUGAUCCAGCCAUGCCGCGUGAGUGAAGAAGGCCUUAGGGUUGUAAAGCUCUUUCAGCGGGAAGAUAAUGACGGUACCCGCAGAAGAAGCCCCGGCUAACUCCGUGCCAGCCGCCGCGGU
Molecule: ribosomal RNA, 443 nt
Filed under: uncultured bacterium
Lineage: Bacteria
Description: bacterial SSU rRNA
Rfam family: Bacterial small subunit ribosomal RNA
Source: RNAcentral